This 201-nucleotide unclassified non-coding RNA is filed under the name Pectinophora gossypiella (pink bollworm). Its description in RNAcentral is "uncharacterized protein K02A2.6-like". The record is from RNAcentral. Lineage: Eukaryota; Metazoa; Arthropoda; Insecta; Lepidoptera; Gelechiidae.
AAGAACCUGUCUAUGGAGAUAGAUACCGGCAGUGCGAUUUCUUGUAUAAGUAAUGAUUGUUAUAGAAAAAUGUUUUCGGAUUGUGAGUUAAAACAAAGUAGUUUGUGUUUACGUUACUAUACUGGGGAGAUUGUAAAACCGUUCCAGAUACAGUGAUGUGUUUGCCGAGGGACUGGGGAGAUUCACUGGCGGAAAGGUGGG